UUCCUACGGGGGGCAGCAGUGAGGAAUAUUGGUCAAUGGUCGGGAGACUGAACCAGCCAAGCCGCGUGAGGGAGGAAGGUACAGAGUAUCGUAAACCUCUUUUGUCAGGGAACAAAGACUGGGACGCGUCCCCGGAUGAGUGUACCUGAAGAAAAAGCAUCGGCUAACUCCGUGCCAGCAGCCGCGGUAAUACGGAGGAUGCGAGCGUUAUCCGGAUUUAUUGGGUUUAAAGGGUGCGUAGGCGGGUUAUCAAGUCAGCGGUAAAAUCGUGGAGCUCAACUCCAUCCAGCCGUUGAAACUGAUGA
Molecule: ribosomal RNA, 305 nt
Filed under: uncultured bacterium
Lineage: Bacteria
Description: bacterial SSU rRNA
Rfam family: Bacterial small subunit ribosomal RNA
Source: RNAcentral